This 240-nucleotide ribosomal RNA is filed under the name Pseudomonas aeruginosa. RNAcentral describes it as "partial 16S ribosomal RNA". It matches the Rfam family "Bacterial small subunit ribosomal RNA", at positions 1141 to 1380 of the family's 1533-position model. Lineage: Bacteria; Pseudomonadati; Pseudomonadota; Gammaproteobacteria; Pseudomonadales; Pseudomonadaceae. The record is from RNAcentral.
UAAGGAGACUGCCGGUGACAAACCGGAGGAAGGUGGGGAUGACGUCAAGUCAUCAUGGCCCUUACGGCCAGGGCUACACACGUGCUACAAUGGUCGGUACAAAGGGUUGCCAAGCCGCGAGGUGGAGCUAAUCCCAUAAAACCGAUCGUAGUCCGGAUCGCAGUCUGCAACUCGACUGCGUGAAGUCGGAAUCGCUAGUAAUCGUGAAUCAGAAUGUCACGGUGAAUACGUUCCCGGGCC